AACGAACGCUGGCGGCAUGCCUAACACAUGCAAGUCGAACGAGAACUCCGGGCUUUGUGGCGCACGGGUGCGUACCGAGUGGGAAGUUGCCCUUAGGUACGGUAUACCUCACCGAAAGGGGUGCUAAUACAGGUUAAUGUCUUAGGACCAAAGAUCUAUCGCUUUUGGAUGGGCCCGCGUUGGAUUCGGUGGUUGGUAGGGUAAAAGCCUACCAAGGCGACGAUCCAGGGCUGGUCUGGGAGGAGGAUUAGCAACACUUGGACUAAGACACGGCCCAGAAUCCUACGGAGGGGAGGAGAGGAGAAUAUAGUGCGAGGGGCGAAAGCCUGAUCCAGCAGUGCCGGGGAAGAGAUGAAUGCCUUAGGGUUGUAAAGCUCUUUUACCCGAGGUGAUAGUGACGGUACCGGGAAAAGAAGCACCGGCUAACUCCGUG
This 433-nucleotide ribosomal RNA is filed under the name uncultured bacterium. RNAcentral's name for it is "partial 16S ribosomal RNA". It matches the Rfam family "Bacterial small subunit ribosomal RNA", at positions 29 to 507 of the family's 1533-position model. The record is from RNAcentral.